CAUUGGCCAAAGGCCAGAAGAGGUUAUGCGAUGGUAAUGUGUACGUAGUAUGUGGGUCUGUGCGUCCGUGCGUAUGUAAACAAUUUCUUGUUAAUGUGAUACAGUCUUUAGUUUUGAUUGUAUCUCGAUGAAACUUGUACAGUAUUUAGAUAUCAAUUAGAGCUUGGUUCUUUUUGAAAACCAGCAAUAUCCGCCUAUGCAUGCCUAGAUUAUGAGCCUUGAAAGUUUUAAAUUAAAGAAAUGCUAUUUUUAGUUAACUUAUUUUUAGUCUGCAUGAGCAAAUUCUAUUUUUAGCCAAGUUUACAUGUACAUCUAAAUUCAAGGCUAGGAUUAAGGGGGACAAUUUGCUUUUUGGUACUGCAGUUGAUUUUGUGAAUUACCCGGUACUCUGCCCUGUUCUUGUUGAAAGCCCAAUUUUUUUUAGCCCUAAGUGCAUCCAUCUCAGCACAAUUGCCUGUGAAUGUUUGUUCAAAUUGAUCAAUGUUGUCCUCGGAUGCCCUUGACUUUGACCUUUUGACCAACUUUUUUAAAUUUUUAAAACUACAGAAAUUUUUACCAUGAGUACAGUUUUGAAAGCAUUUUUUUGUCAGAUGACUUUUACUUGGCACAUAUUAAAAUAGUUCAUGCAACUAAUCUGCUUACAAUACUUUCUGCGCUCAGAUGUUGAACGUGCAAUGUUUUCAGGUAACCCAAACACAAAAUGUGAACUUUAUGUCUGUUGCCUUUUACCCAUAUAUACAUGCUCUGGAUUAAAAAUGACCACAAGAGCCAUGCCAGUAGAGCAUAGGCCCUUUUGGGCCCCUUGUUUAAAGAAUUAUUUUAUUGCUGUACAAUCAUUGAAGAUAUUGAAACUUCUUAAACUUAUUCACAGUAAUAAUGCUCUUUUUGUAACAAGUUAUAUAACUCAAACUUAAAUACUGUAAGAGUUAAGGCCCUUUGUAACUUUUAAAACAAAUACUUAUUUUUUCAUUUUUUACACCCCACAUUUAAGAUUGUAUUCAUUUGUGGAUGGGAACGCGAUUUUGAUCAUUGUGGCGCUAACGUGAAUAACGAGAAAAAGCGAGAAUCAAAUCGCGCACUCUUUUCCCCUUGAUUUUUCAUGGUAUUUUCGAGCUUAAAACUUAGUUAUUUGUUGUCAACAUAAAAAAAAACACGUCAAUUUCAGCAAUAAACCCUCUGAAACACUAUUUAUUGACGUUUAGUUGAUCAUAACCUUUGAACGUGUGUUUAAUUUACCGAAAGAGUUGGUCAGCUGUUCGGCUUUUGGACUUUGGCAACUACGUUUGUAUGACGGUAAGGUGCAAACAUUUCUGGUCGAUGAUGUAAGGCGUUUUUGAAAUAAAAACAGUAUUAUUUUAUUUUUUUGAAACGAAAGAACAUUGAUCAGAAUAUGCUUGAUCAUGAAAUGGUUGUUUAUAACCGAUAUUUGUUAACAUUCUGACAAACAACGAAGUAACCGAGACACCGUUUCCCAGUUUAUCACGAGGAACAUCCGGUGUUAAACUUCAACGUUUCUUGGUUUAAAUUGUGGAAUUUCAAGUGGAAAGUAGACAUUUUAUCUGGUGGACGAGGCCGAAUUGCCGGGGAAAGGAAGUGACAGUGUCGUGAGCCUGGCCCACCACUACUUUCAGCACUAUGGUGUCGGUGAAAAACAUGCUGAGGUUUAUUUCGAUAAUGCUGUCGGCCAAAACAAGAACAAUGCUGUGCUUUGGUAUGCCAUGUGACCUGUAAUGACAGGAUUGCAUGAGAGUGUAACACUAAACACUAUGUUGGCUGGGCACACCAAAUUUGCUCCUGACUGUCACUUCGGCAACUGGAAGGUCCAGUGGCGAUGUUGUAAUGCCGAGAAUCUUCAAGAAAUUGCCCACACUGUUUUCACCUCUUCAAAGUCCGGCCACAACAUCCCACACUUGGUUUAUGACCCUCAACAGCCAAUCACAGUUCACAGUUGGAAAUCAUUCCUAGAUACAUAUUUCAAAACUCUAAAGAAUAUUACCAAAUACCACCAUUUCUAUGUAUCAAAACAUAAACCAGGAGUUGUAGUAUGCAAAGAGUUUGUAGAUUCCUCAGAAAUUGAAGUUAUUCUUUUGAGGAUGAGUCCAGAAUGUGGUGUUUUGCCUGAAAUAAAGCACGCAACGUGCCUAGAUGCUGAACGUCAAUCGUACCUUCAAUAUUCUUUUGGUCCAUUCUUUAGAUCUGAGUCAUCAAGAUCUGUAGUAUGCCCUAAACCAACUGUGUAAAGUCGAAGUUUACUCAUUUGUUGGUGAAAUGUCGAUUGUAGAUCAAAUGUUUGUGGCAAAUAUGAAAGAAAUGAGUAAAAAAUGGCUUAUCACAUGUAACCAUAGCAACAGGCUGUUGUUUUAUGUAGUUCUUUUAUGUCAUUUUGUACAUAUAAUGAGCAAUGUGUACUCUUUGUGUCUAUGAAUUAGUUUAUGUGUUAGCUAUAACAGACAGUUAAGUUAGUAUUUCGGCAUGGACACUGCAUUUAAAAUAAGAACAUUUUUAGUGGACAUUGUUUUCAAACUGGCUUACCAAUGUGUAACAGAAUGAUCCAUAUCUUUUGAUUUCUUUGUACAAAAAUGACUAGAAACUUUAGUUUUUAUACCUAAGAUACUUGGUAUCAUUUACAUGCCAAUAACUUAAAACGCAUUGUAUAUUGAGAACACAUUAUUUGUGGCAGACUUUGAAAAUGAUUGGAAAUAGCAUUUUCAUUAGUAACCAUAGCAACCGAUUUUUGCUUUGACCUUUGUGGCCAAUUUCUAUGUCAUUAUAGACAUUAGCAAUGUGUACUUGCUAUUUUAAUGUUGAAGUUUAUGUAACACUAGUAAAGAUAAGUGAUAUAUUUAAACAGGUAUCUUGACAUAUAUAUAAUAUUUAAAAUAAGAACAGUUUUGUUCACAUUGUUUUUUAUCCCUGUGUUUCAUAAUGUUUCAUAUGUUUUAUAACUUUUGUGAAAUUUAACGUGAAACUUUAGAGUUAAUUUCUGUAAAUACUUAGUAUCAUAAAGAUGUCAAUAACUUAUAAAUAAAAAAAAAUUAUGCGGACUUUCAAAAAUGAUUGGUAAUAGCAUUUUCAUAAGUAACCAUAGCAACUGAAUUUUGCUUUGACCUUUGUUGUAAGUUUCUUUAUCAUUAUGGACAUUAGCAAUGUAUACUUGUUAUUUUCCUUUUGUAGUGAAUGUGAUACUAGUAAAGAUAGUUUUAUAUAUUAAUAUUUUGACUUGUGUACUUCAUUCAAAAUAAGAACAGAUUUAGCGAACAUUUCGUUCAAAUUGUGUUAAAGCUCUCUGUUACGAAAUGUUCCAUAUCCAUUGUUGUUUUUUUAAUAUUUGACUGACUAGUUCAGAUUUUAUUUCUGCAAUUGCUUGGUAUCAUAAAAAUGUCAAUAACUUAAAACACAACUUUAUGAAAAACAUUAUUUUUUGAGAAACAUUUAGAAAAUGAGUGAAAAUGGCAUUAUCAAUAGUUACCAUAGCAACCAAAUGCACUUAUGAACUUUUCGUUAACUUUUGUAAUCAAACUAUGAGUGCUUAUUGUUUCUAUGCUAAAACUUAUAUGUUACAUGUAAAUAGUCCUUGACAUGAUACUUAUCUGACAUGGAUAUUUCAUUCUAAAUAAACACAUUAGACCAUA
This is a long non-coding RNA of Mya arenaria, 3632 nucleotides long. RefSeq lists it as uncharacterized. NCBI's taxonomy places the organism in Eukaryota, Metazoa, Mollusca, Bivalvia, Myida, Myidae. The record is from RefSeq and is a predicted model, not a curated record. The transcript is spliced from 4 exons.